GAGUUUGAUCCUGGCUCAGAGCGAACGCUGGCGGCAGGCUUAACACAUGCAAGUCGAGCGGGCAUAGCAAUAUGUCAGCGGCAGACGGGUGAGUAACGCGUGGGAACGUACCUUUUGGUUCGGAACAACACAGGGAAACUUGUGCUAAUACCGGAUAAGCCCUUACGGGGAAAGAUUUAUCGCCGAAAGAUCGGCCCGCGUCUGAUUAGCUAGUUGGUGAGGUAAUGGCUCACCAAGGCGACGAUCAGUAGCUGGUCUGAGAGGAUGAUCAGCCACAUUGGGACUGAGACACGGCCCAAACUCCUACGGGAGGCAGCAGUGGGGAAUAUUGGACAAUGGGCGCAAGCCUGAUCCAGCCAUGCCGCGUGAGUGAUGAAGGCCCUAGGGUUGUAAAGCUCUUUUGUGCGGGAAGAUAAUGACGGUACCGCAAGAAUAAGCCCCGGCUAACUUCGUGCCAGCAGCCGCGGUAAUAC
RNAcentral lists this ribosomal RNA (473 nucleotides) under Bradyrhizobium sp. No.224. RNAcentral describes it as "bacterial SSU rRNA". It matches the Rfam family "Bacterial small subunit ribosomal RNA", at positions 9 to 526 of the family's 1533-position model. The record is from RNAcentral. Lineage: Bacteria; Pseudomonadati; Pseudomonadota; Alphaproteobacteria; Hyphomicrobiales; Nitrobacteraceae.